UAACGCGUGAAGUUGACCGCCUGGGGAGUACGGUCGCAAGAUUAAAACUCAAAGGAAUUGACGGGGACCCGCACAAGCGGUGGAUGAUGUGGAUUAAUUCGAUGCAACGCGAAAAACCUUACCUACCCUUGACAUGUCUGGAAUUCCGAAGAGAUUUGGAAGUGCUCGCAAGAGAACCGGAACACAGGUGCUGCAUGGCUGUCGUCAGCUCGUGUCGUGAGAUGUUGGGUUAAGUCCCGCAACGAGCGCAACCCUUGUCAUUAGUUGCUACGAAAGGGCACUCUAAUGAGACUGCCGGUGACAAACCGGAGGAAGGUGGGGAUGACGUCAAGUCCUCAUGGCCCUUAUGGGUAGGGCUUCACACGUCAUACAAUGGUCGGGACAGAGGGUCGCCAACCCGCGAGGGGGAGCCAAUCCCAGAAACCCGAUCGUAGUCCGGAUCGCAGUCUGCAACUCGACUGCGUGAAGUCGGAAUCGCUAGUAAUCGCGGAUCAGCAUGUCGCGGUGAAUACGUUCCCGGGUCUUGUACACACCGCCCGUCACACCAUGGGAGUGGGUUUUACCAGAAGU
RNAcentral lists this ribosomal RNA (570 nucleotides) under Achromobacter sp. Its description in RNAcentral is "bacterial SSU rRNA". It matches the Rfam family "Bacterial small subunit ribosomal RNA", at positions 853 to 1427 of the family's 1533-position model. Lineage: Bacteria; Pseudomonadati; Pseudomonadota; Betaproteobacteria; Burkholderiales; Alcaligenaceae. The record is from RNAcentral.